GACACUGUGUCCACCUAUAACUAAAAAAAUAAAUAUUUGUUAAAUUUGUUCCCAAGUAUUUUUUAAAAAGUGUGAAACAUUCUGAAAACUAUAAAACAUUGCCAAAAGACAUUAUAGACAAUCUAAAUAAAUGAAAAAACACCCCUGUUUCUGAAAUUCAUGUGGAAGUGCAAGGGACUCAGACAAUACAGUGCUGAAAAAGAACAAUUGUACAUCCUGAUUUUAAAACUUCACACAAUAAUAAUGAAGGCAUUGUGAUACUGGCACAAAGUUAGACACAUAUAGGUCAGUGGAAUAGACCUCAGAGUCCAGAUAUAUAAACUCAUUCAUUUAUGCUCAAAUGAUUUUCAACCAGAAUGACAGGUUCUUUCAAUCGAGAAAAUAUAGCCUGCUUCCGGCACAACUGGAUACUUUAUGUAAAAGAUUGAGGUUGGACACUUAAAACAGUAUACAAAAAAUAACUCAAAAUGGAUUUAAGAUCCAAAUGUAAGAGCUAAAACCAUAAAACUCCUUGGAGUUUUAAGUAUAAAUCCUCAUGGCAUUGUAUUUGGCAGCGGAUUUAUAGAUAUGACAACAAAAACAUGAGCAGCAAAAGAAAAAGAUACUGGACUUCAGAAUUUAAAAAAAAACUUGGGUUUGGCCUGCACAGUGCCCUAGAUUCAAUCCUCAGCACCAAAAAAUAAAUAAAAAUUUAAAAUCUUGGGGGGGGAAAUUGGUAGACAACCCACAGAAUGGGAUCCUUCUUCCUCAGUCUCCCAAGCCACUGGGAUUACAGACAUGCACCAUGGCACCCUGCUAAAAUCUUU
RNAcentral lists this long non-coding RNA (806 nucleotides) under Marmota monax (woodchuck). Lineage: Eukaryota; Metazoa; Chordata; Mammalia; Rodentia; Sciuridae. The record is from RNAcentral.